AAGAGUUAUUACAACUCCCAAACCCAUGUGAACUUACCUUUGUUGCCUCGGCAGGUCUGCAGCCUACCCUGUGAAACCCUACCCUGUAGGGACCUUACCUGGGAGAUGCGGGUAAAGCCUGCCGGUGGCCUAUCAAACUCUGUUUACUUAUGUCAUUCUGAAUUAUAUAACUAAAUAAGUUA
RNAcentral lists this unclassified non-coding RNA (182 nucleotides) under uncultured Ascomycota. RNAcentral describes it as "sequence contains ITS1". The record is from RNAcentral. Lineage: Eukaryota; Fungi; Ascomycota.